Molecule: non-coding RNA, 169 nt
Organism: Erinaceus europaeus (western European hedgehog)
Lineage: Eukaryota; Metazoa; Chordata; Mammalia; Eulipotyphla; Erinaceidae
Source: Rfam
AUACUUACCUGGCAGGGGAGAUACCAUGAUCACAAUGGUGGUUUUCCCAGGGCAAGGCUUAUCCAUUGCAAGGCUUAUCCAGAUGUGCUAACCCCUGUGAUUUCCCCAAAUGUGGGAAACUUGACUGCAUAAUAUGUCGUAGUGGGGACUACGUUCAUGCUCUCCCCUG